UACAGAGGGUGCGAGCGUUAAUCGGAGUAACUGGGCGUAAAGGGCGCGUAGGCGGUUUUGUAAGUGAGAUGUGAAAUCCCCGGGCUUAACCUGGGAAGGUCAUUUUAGACUAUGAGACUGGAGUACAGUAGAGGGUAGCGGAAUUUCCGGUGUAGCGGUGAAAUGCGUAGAGAUCGGAAGGAACAUCAGUGGCGAAGGCGGCAACCUGGACUGAAACUGACGCUGAGGCGCGAGAGCGUGGGGAGCAAACAGG
Molecule: ribosomal RNA, 253 nt
Filed under: uncultured bacterium
Lineage: Bacteria
Description: partial 16S ribosomal RNA
Rfam family: Bacterial small subunit ribosomal RNA
Source: RNAcentral